AGGAAAGUAGGGGAUCGCAAGACCUUGNCGCUUUUGGGGCGGCCGAUGUCUGAUUAGCUAGUUGGUGAGGUAAAGGCUUACCAAGGCUUCGAUCAGUAGCUGGUCUGAGAGGACGACCAGCCACACUGGGACUGAGACACGGCCCAGACUCCUACGGGAGGCAGCAGUGGGGAAUUUUGGACAAUGGGGGCAACCCUGAUCCAGCCAUGCCGCGUGAGUGAAGAAGGCCUUCGGGUUGUAAAGCUCUUUCAGCCGGAACGAAAAGGUUACGGUUAAUACCCGUGACUAAUGACGGUACCGGAAGAAGAAGCACCGGCUAACUACGUGCCAGCAGCCGCGGUAAUACGUAGGGUGCGAGCGUUAAUCGGAAUUACUGGGCGUAAAGCGUGCGCAGGCGGUUUUGUAAGUCAGAUGUGAAAUCCCCGGGCUUAACCUGGGAACUGCGUUUGAAACUACAAAGCU
This 462-nucleotide ribosomal RNA is filed under the name uncultured beta proteobacterium. RNAcentral describes it as "bacterial SSU rRNA". It matches the Rfam family "Bacterial small subunit ribosomal RNA", at positions 186 to 642 of the family's 1533-position model. The record is from RNAcentral. Lineage: Bacteria; Pseudomonadati; Pseudomonadota; Betaproteobacteria.